GCAGUCGAACGAAGAGCGAUGGAAGCUUGCUUCUAUCAAUCUUAGUGGCGAACGGGUGAGUAACGCGUAAUCAACCUGCCCUUCAGAGGGGGACAACAGUUGGAAACGACUGCUAAUACCGCAUACGAUCUAAUCUCGGCAUCGAGGAUAGAUGAAAGGUGGCCUCUACAUGUAAGCUAUCACUGAAGGAGGGGAUUGCGUCUGAUUAGCUAGUUGGAGGGGUAACGGCCCACCAAGGCGAUGAUCAGUAGCCGGUCUGAGAGGAUGAACGGCCACAUUGGGACUGAGACACGGCCCAGACUCCUACGGGAGGCAGCAGUGGGGAAUCUUCCGCAAUGGACGAAAGUCUGACGGAGCAACGCCGCGUGAGUGAUGACGGCCUUCGGGUUGUAAAGCUCUGUUAAUCGGGACGAAAGGCCUUCUUGCGAAUAGUGAGAAGGAUUGACGGUACCGGAAUAGAAAGCCACGGCUAACUACGUGCCAGCAGCCGCGGUAAUACGUAGGUGGCAAGCGUUGUCCGGAAUUAUUGGGCGUAAAGCGCGCGCAGGCGGAUAGGUCAGUCUGUCUUAAAAGUUCGGGGCUUAACCCCGUGAUGGGAUGGAAACUGCCAAUCUAGAGUAUCGGAGAGGAAAGUGGAAUUCCUAGUGUAGCGGUGAAAUGCGUAGAUAUUAGGAAGAACACCAGUGGCGAAGGCGACUUUCUGGACGAAAACUGACGCUGA
This 721-nucleotide ribosomal RNA is filed under the name uncultured bacterium. RNAcentral describes it as "bacterial SSU rRNA". It matches the Rfam family "Bacterial small subunit ribosomal RNA", at positions 57 to 749 of the family's 1533-position model. The record is from RNAcentral.